AUGCGCAAAAUUGUGAUUAAUUCAGUUUCACCUUUGCUAUCAUCGUGAGUUAUUAUACAUAUACCUAUAGUGCGCGAGAAAUAUUGCCUAAAAGUAUGUAUCCAACGAGAAGGAAGCAAAUGCGUAAACCGGCACUACCACCAGAUAUUUACCAUAGUUUCCCACGAUUCUGCGCGAUUAGUUCAUCAAUGGAUUUGCCAUACGACCCUCCAUUUACUAUGUAAACGUGUUUGGGACCAUGUUUGUUGCCGACUGAUCAUCUCAAGGAAUGGCAAGCGGAAACAGGAUGCAAUGUCUUGCAUAAUUUGCAUUAAUAUCUCCUUGUAUUUUUUGUUUUAAAUAUUUAUCUUAAUUACAGUAAGAAAAUAAACACUUCAGUAAGCACA
Long non-coding RNA from Rhagoletis zephyria (snowberry fruit fly), 386 nucleotides. RefSeq lists it as uncharacterized. NCBI's taxonomy places the organism in Eukaryota, Metazoa, Arthropoda, Insecta, Diptera, Tephritidae. The record is from RefSeq and is a predicted model, not a curated record.